This is a non-coding RNA of Notechis scutatus (mainland tiger snake), 1144 nucleotides long. The record is from RefSeq and is a predicted model, not a curated record. Lineage: Eukaryota; Metazoa; Chordata; Lepidosauria; Squamata; Elapidae.
GGUAUUAAGCUAAUAUCAAACAAAUCACAGAAUGCUUUGGAUGAUUCUCGAAUCUAUGCCUUCUUGAAUAACCAAGAUUAGAUCUAUUUAUAUUUAUUAGCACAUAAUUGACAGAAAUUUAUAAUGGCAGAAGAUUUAUUUUUCAUCUUCCUUAAGGUAAAGGUUCCCCUCGCACAUAUGUGUUAGUCGUUUCCAGUCUAGGGGGCGGUGCUCAUCUCUGUUACAAAGCCGAAGAGCCAGUGCUGUCCAAAGACGUUUCCGUGGUCAUGUGGCCGGCAUGACUAAAUGCUGAAGGCGCAUGGAACACCUUUGUCUUCCUUACCCUGUAGUUAUCUGGAAGUUUGGGGAAAUCUUGAGAACAGCUCAGGAGGCAGCACAGGAAACUCAGGGAAAGGGAGGAAUCAGCAAGCAUUCUUCCACAAUGGAGAAAUGUUAGCUCUUUCUCUGUGGAAUGACAACCUUCAACCUUCUAAAGUAUCACUAGAACUAUAUUAAUAUACUGCAUGUACUGCACUCAAUAGCAUCCUGCUUUCCUGCAGUCUUAUUUAAAGCUAACAUAAAUGAUGAGUGUAUUGUUUCUCAUUUUGGGGCUCUUUGUAGACACCAAGAACAUACUGUGCUGCUAAUACAGAGGAUCUGGAAACAAUUAUUGAUUAUAUACAUAAGUUAUAUGCUUCAGCUGCAUUGAUGGCAGCAGGUGUUUCUCUGGGAGGCAUGCUUCUUUUAAACUAUUUGGGCAAAACUGGGAAAAAAACACCAUUAAAAGCAGCUCUAGUUUUUUCAGCAGGAUGGAAUGCUUUUGAAUCUGCAAAUUCACUGGAAAAACCAGUAAAUUGGCUUCUUUUUAAUUAUUAUUUAACCAGCUGCCUAAAGUCUUCAGUUACUAGGUCAUAUAUAUAAUUUGAUUUAUUUCCUUAUAUUAUGAACCAUCUGUGCUAUUCAAAUAUAAUUUAUGUUUGAUUAUAUACCAUCAACAUCUGGCAAUGGUAUGGGUACAUUUUCUCUGUGAGCUACUGUCCUCAAUGCGGUCCUUAAGGUUUUCCGAGAACAUACCAUUGCUGCGGGAAUUUAGUCCAUUUUGCUGCUGGUCAUCCUGUUCUUUCUAUUUCCACCCUUCCCAGCAUCAGAGCCAUAUAUAAUAGAU